Molecule: long non-coding RNA, 1007 nt
Organism: Hemiscyllium ocellatum (epaulette shark)
Lineage: Eukaryota; Metazoa; Chordata; Chondrichthyes; Orectolobiformes; Hemiscylliidae
Exons: 3
Source: RefSeq, a predicted model, not a curated record
UGGGAGGAGAAGUCGCUCGAGCGGGGAAGCGGCGGCCGUUAGGAAAAUGGCGCCGUGCGGCCCGGGGCAGACCCCCGUCACUGGUCACCGCCGCCUUCCUGGUGCAGCUGCUGUGUCACGGCCACACCGGCCGGCUGUACAGCAGGCAGGAGCCGGUGACCAUUCUGGAGGCGGAUGGGGUUAAGGACCUGUUUGGGAACUGGUCGGCCGCCUGGGUGGUGGAGUUCUACUGGUCGUGGGGCGGCCCCUGUGUCAACUAUGGGGCCACCUGGAAGGUACUGGGCCCGGGAGGUGAAAGACUUCCAAAGAGUACAAUCUCUGGGACCAAGAUAGGCUGACAGGUCUGAGUCCACAAGGGACUCCCUCGGCUGUCUCGUAUCUGUACUUUAUCAAUUUGGCGCUGCAAGCAGGGUUCCAACAAGGGCUACAUUUGACUGAAACUGGAAAAGAAGAGUUCCAUCUAAGGGUUGGACUCAAGACCAAUGGACCCACAAGAUGUGAUCAACAAAACGGGUCAAGAUGCAGGGAAGAUACCUGCCCAACUGUUGCCUGAUUCGUGUGGAUGGAAGUUUACUUGCUGGCUAUGAUCGCUGUGUGGAUGGAUCGUGUGGGAUGUACUGAUAGUCCUUGGACUCAUCCUAGGAAUACACACUGUCGUCUGCUUAUGCGUGAAAUAGACUGUGCAUUGUUUUUCACCUAAGCCAAAGAGCAUCUGGUUAAUUGACCCUUGUCUACCCCUCUAACUCUGUGCCUGAACUUCCAUGCUGAAAUCCUGUAUCUUUCAGACUCUGCUCCUCUGGACGAUGACCUGGCAGAGGAGGCACUUGACUUAUUUGAAAAUAUACAUUGACUGGAUGGACUAAUAAUUUCCUAUUCCUAUUCCUUGGAUGCUGCCUGACCUGCUGUGCUUUAACCAGCAACACAUUUUCAACUGCGAUCUCCAGCAUCUGCAGACCUAAUUUUUUACCCUAAUAAUAAUUAUAAGCCAAGUAGUUGUCAUGAAAUAA